UACGUAGGGGGCUAGCGUUGUCCGGAAUCAUUGGGCGUAAAGAGCGUGUAGGCGGUUCAGUAAGUCUGCUGUGAAAGUCCAGGGCUCAACCCUGGGAUGCCGGUGGAUACUGCUGGGCUAGAGUACGGAAGAGGCGAGUGGAAUUCCCGGUGUAGCGGUGAAAUGCGCAGAUAUCGGGAGGAACACCAAUUGCGAAGGCAGCUCGCUGGGACGUCACUGACGCUGAGACGCGAAAGCGUGGGGAGCAAACAGG
This 253-nucleotide ribosomal RNA is filed under the name uncultured bacterium. Its description in RNAcentral is "partial 16S ribosomal RNA". It matches the Rfam family "Bacterial small subunit ribosomal RNA", at positions 524 to 776 of the family's 1533-position model. The record is from RNAcentral.